AUUGAACGCUGGCGGCAGGCCUAACACAUGCAAGUCGAGCGGACGAAGGGAGCUUUUUCUUGUCUUCCGUUGGCGACGGGUGAGUAAUUCCCAGGAAUCUACCUGGUCGUGGGGGAUAACGUCCGUUCACGGACGCUAAUCCCGCAUCCGUUCUGAGGGAGAAAGUCGGGGAUCUUCGGACCUCACGCUAUCAGAUGAGCCUAGGUCGGAUUAGCUAGUUGGUGGGGUAAAGGCCUACCAAGGCGACGAUCCGUAACUGGCCUGAGAGGAUGAUCAGUCACACUGGAACUGAGACACGGUCCAGACUCCUACGGGAGGCAGCAGUGGGGAAUAUUGGGCAAUGGGCGAAAGCCUGACGGAGCAAUGCCGCGUGUGUGAAGAAGGUCUUCGGAUUGUAAAACUCUUUUAUUAGGGAGGAAGGGCUGUGAGAGAAAAUCUUCAUGUCUUGACGUUACCAAAAGAAUAAGCAACGGCUAACUACGUG
This 484-nucleotide ribosomal RNA is filed under the name uncultured bacterium. RNAcentral's name for it is "partial 16S ribosomal RNA". It matches the Rfam family "Bacterial small subunit ribosomal RNA", at positions 30 to 507 of the family's 1533-position model. The record is from RNAcentral.